GACGAACGCUGGUGGCGUGGAUUAGGCAUGCAAGUCGAACGGUAUCAUCCUUUCGGGGGUGAGAGAGUGGCGAACUGGUGAGUAACACGUAGGUUAUCUACCCUCAAGACGGGACAACCCAGGGAAACUUGGGCUAAUACCGGAUGUGAGCAACUUUUAGUUGUUUGAAAGGUGGCGUAAGCUGUCGCUUGGGGAUGAGCCUGCGUCCUAUUAGUUAGUUGGUGAGGUAACGGCUCACCUAGGCAAUGAUAGGUAGGCGGCCUUAACGGGUGGUCGCCCACACUGGGAUUGAGAUACGGCCCAGACUCCUACGGGAGGCAGCAGUCGAGAAUAGUCUACAAUGGUCGGAAGACUGAUAGUGCGACGCCGCGUGAACGAUGAAUCCCUUCGGGGUGUAAAGUUCUUUUAUAUGUGAGCAGUGCUUCUUAUAUUAACAGUAUGGGGAGAGAGAUAUUAGCAUAUGAAUAAGCAACGGCUAACUCCGUG
RNAcentral lists this ribosomal RNA (486 nucleotides) under uncultured bacterium. RNAcentral describes it as "bacterial SSU rRNA". It matches the Rfam family "Bacterial small subunit ribosomal RNA", at positions 28 to 507 of the family's 1533-position model. The record is from RNAcentral.